This 460-nucleotide ribosomal RNA is filed under the name uncultured bacterium. RNAcentral's name for it is "partial 16S ribosomal RNA". It matches the Rfam family "Bacterial small subunit ribosomal RNA", at positions 338 to 795 of the family's 1533-position model. The record is from RNAcentral.
CCUACGGGUGGCAGCAGUGAGGAAUAUUGGUCAAUGGACGAGAGUCUGAACCAGCCAAGUAGCGUGAAGGAUGACUGCCCUAUGGGUUGUAAACUUCUUUUAUAUGGGAAUAAAACGUUCCACGUGUGGGAUUUUGUAUGUACCAUAUGAAUAAGGAUCGGCUAACUCCGUGCCAGCAGCCGCGGUAAUACGGAGGAUCCGAGCGUUAUCCGGAUUUAUUGGGUUUAAAGGGAGCGUAGGUGGAUUGUUAAGUCAGUUGUGAAAGUUUGCGGCUCAACCGUAAAAAUGCAGUUGAAACUGGCAGUCUUGAGUACAGUAGAGGUGGGCGGAAUUCGUGGUGUAGCGGUGAAAUGCUUAGAUAUCACGAAGAACUCCGAUUGCGAAGGCAGUUCACUGGACUGCAACUGACACUGAGGCUCGAAAGUGUGGGUAUCAAACAGGAUUAGAUACCCCAGUAGUC